GACGAACGCUGGCGGUGUGCUUAACACAUGCAAGUCGAACGGUAAGGCCCUUUCGGGGGUGCACGAGUGGCGAACGGGGGGGUAACACGUGGGUAACCUGCCCUCAUCUCUGGGGUAACAAUCGCAAACGAUUGCUACUACUGGCUAUGAGCUUGUCAGGCAGCUUGUGGGGUGGAAAGAUUUUUUUGGGUGGGGGUGGACUCGCGGCCUAUCCGCUUGUUGGUGGGGGAGUGGCUCUUCAAGGCUUCGACGGGUAGCCGGCCCGGGAGGGCGAACGGCCACAUUGGGACUGAGAUACGGCCCAAACUCCUACGGGAGGCAGCAGUGGGGAAUAUUGCACAAAGGACGGAAGGCUGAUGCAGCAACGCCGCGGGCGGGAUGACGGCCUUCGGGUUGUAAACCGCUUUCAAUUGUGACGAAGCUUUUUGUGACGGUAGCAGUAGAAGAAGCACCGGCUAACUACGUG
RNAcentral lists this ribosomal RNA (466 nucleotides) under uncultured bacterium. RNAcentral's name for it is "partial 16S ribosomal RNA". It matches the Rfam family "Bacterial small subunit ribosomal RNA", at positions 28 to 507 of the family's 1533-position model. The record is from RNAcentral.